Molecule: ribosomal RNA, 303 nt
Filed under: uncultured bacterium
Lineage: Bacteria
Description: partial 16S ribosomal RNA
Rfam family: Bacterial small subunit ribosomal RNA
Source: RNAcentral
AGCAGUAGCCGCGGGAAUACGUAGGGUGCGAGCGUUAAUCGGAAUUACUGGGCGUAAAGCGUGCGCAGGCGGUUUUGUAAGACAGGCGUGAAAUCCCCGGGCUCAACCUGGGAAUGGCGCUUGUGACUGCAAAGCUAGAGUGCGGCAGAGGGGGAUGGAAUUCCGCGUGUAGCAGUGAAAUGCGUAGAUAUGCGGAGGAACACCGAUGGCGAAGGCAAUCCCCUGGGCCUGCACUGACGCUCAUGCACGAAAGCGUGGGGAGCAAACAGGAUUAGAUACCCGAGUAGUCCCUGUCUCUUAUAC